AUNUNAACUGCGAACGGCUCAUUAAAUCANUUAUAAUCUACUUGAUUGUAAAAUCUACAUGGAUAACUGUAGUAAUUCUAGAGCUAAUACAUGCAAAAAAUCCUGACUGUUAUGGAAAGGAUGUAUUUAUUANGUACAAAAUCAAUGCUGGCACUUGUGUCAGGUUUAUUGAUGAUUCAUAAUAACUAAACGAAGCGCACGACCUUGAGUUGGCGCUGAUACAAACGAGUUUCUGCCCUAUCAACUUUCGAUGGUAGNAUAGAGGACUACCAUGGUUUCAACGGAACGGGGAAUANAUUU
This 300-nucleotide ribosomal RNA is filed under the name uncultured fungus. RNAcentral describes it as "bacterial SSU rRNA". It matches the Rfam family "Eukaryotic small subunit ribosomal RNA", at positions 80 to 377 of the family's 1831-position model. Lineage: Eukaryota; Fungi. The record is from RNAcentral.